This is a long non-coding RNA of Cyprinus carpio carpio, 1192 nucleotides long. The record is from Ensembl. NCBI's taxonomy places the organism in Eukaryota, Metazoa, Chordata, Actinopteri, Cypriniformes, Cyprinidae.
GCAAGGGCAAAAACACAAGGUAAUCCACGAGGUAGUCCACAAAGCAAACUCCAAUGAAACAGAAAAACAAAAUGUUACAGGUUCAAUAGUGCAACAACAAAAGACAAAGUGAGCUUGAUAUAUAUAGUGAUGAGUUAAUGGGUAAAUGACCAACAGCUGAUAAUCAGUAACGAAAAGGCCGGGCAAAGAACUAUGGGAAAAGGAGUUCAUGACAUGAAACAGUGGAAGGGGAGAGUGCCAUCUAGUGGCCAGUCUAGGGCACCAUCACUGGACACUGUGACAGUGACCCCUGGAGUGGACUCUGAGAGCUCCCGGACUGGAGCAGGCUCUGGAGUGGACUCUGAGGGCUCACGGACUGGAGCGGGCUCUGGUGGCUCACAGACUGGAAGCGGGCUCUUGGGUGGACUCUAAGGGCUCCCGGACUGGAGCAGGCUCUGGAGUGGACUUGGAGGGCCCCCCGGACUGGAGGGAGUUCAUGAGUGGACUCUGAAGGCUCCCAGACUGGAACGAGUUCAUGAAUGGACUCUGAGGGCUCCCGGACUGGAACAGACUCUGGAGUGGCUCUGAGGAUUCCUGGACUGGAGCAGGAGUGACCACCAGAGUCUGAUCCUCCAGAACCAUCGGAGUCAGGUCCUCCAGGACCACCAGACUUGGGACCACCAGAUAUGGGUCCUCCAGGACCAUCUGACCUGGGACCACUGUAGUCGGGUCCUCCAGGACCACUGGACUUGAGACCACCAGAGUCUUUGGUGCCCUCCUUCUUGACCUCCGCUUGAGUGUGAAAAUCAAUGAAGGAUCCUGGGCUUGAUUAGAUGAAGGAGGUGGGGAUGGAACAGCCCCUGCAGGUGGACUCUGGUGGUGGUGGUGGUGAAUUACCUUUCCCUCCUUUCGGAGCUGCAGGUACCUGGAGAAGUUGCAGAAAUCUAGUGACUUCACCAGUUCCAUCUCCCAUUGCGGUAAGGAUUCAUCCAGACAGGUGUUAAAAUGUAUUUAAUGUUAUCACCCUGACAACCCAGCCUCUCCCCCCUUGUCCAAAACUUCAGGGCAAAGGCCCGCACCGCCAUCCCCUUUUGUUGAAGUUUCUCCAGAACUUGAAGAUGGAUUUGUCUUUCCAGGAGCAGAUCUUUGUCUCUCAUGCUGCUGGAUCCAUAAUGGCUGCACUAUUCUGAAACUGAAUCUCAGAGACAAAUUA